Molecule: ribosomal RNA, 1140 nt
Filed under: Listeria monocytogenes
Lineage: Bacteria; Bacillati; Bacillota; Bacilli; Caryophanales; Listeriaceae
Description: partial 23S ribosomal RNA
Rfam family: Bacterial large subunit ribosomal RNA
Source: RNAcentral
UGGACAACAGGUAGAGAUUCCUGUACCAGUGCUAAUUGUUUAACCGAUGGGGUGACACAGAAGGAUAGGGAAUCGCACGAAUGGAAAUGUGCGUCCAAGCAGUGAGUGUGAGAAGUAGGCAAAUCCGCUUCUCGCGAAGCAUGAGCUGUGAUGGGGAAGGAAAUUAAGUACGGAAGUUCCUGAUUUCACGCUGUCAAGAAAAGCCUCUAGGAAGAGUAGUACUGCCCGUACCGCAAACCGACACAGGUAGAUGAGGAGAGAAUCCUAAGGUGAGCGAGAGAACUCUCGUUAAGGAACUCGGCAAAAUGACCCCGUAACUUCGGGAGAAGGGGUGCUCUAUUAGGGUGCAAGCCCGAGAGAGCCGCAGUGAAUAGGCCCAGGCGACUGUUUAGCAAAAACACAGGUCUCUGCAAAACCGUAAGGUGACGUAUAGGGGCUGACGCCUGCCCGGUGCUGGAAGGUUAAGAGGAGUGCUUAGCUUCGGCGAAGGUACGAAUUGAAGCCCCAGUAAACGGCGGCCGUAACUAUAACGGUCCUAAGGUAGCGAAAUUCCUUGUCGGGUAAGUUCCGACCCGCACGAAAGGCGCAACGAUCUGGGCACUGUCUCAACGAGAGACUCGGUGAAAUUAUAGUACCUGUGAAGAUGCAGGUUACCCGCGACAGGACGGAAAGACCCCGUGGAGCUUUACUGCAACCUGAUAUGGAAUGUUUGUACCGCUUGUACAGGAUAGGUAGGAGCCGAAGAGACGUGUGCGCUAGCAUACGAGGAGGCAAUGGUGGGAUACUACCCUGGCUGUAUGACCAUUCUAACCCGCCACGCUUAGCGCGUGGGGAGACAGUGUCAGGUGGGCAGUUUGACUGGGGCGGUCGCCUCCUAAAGAGUAACGGAGGCGCCCAAAGGUUCCCUCAGAAUGGAUGGAAAUCAUUCGCAGAGUGUAAAGGCACAAGGGAGCUUGACUGCGAGACUGACAAGUCGAGCAGGGACGAAAGUCGGGCUUAGUGAUCCGGUGGUUCCGCAUGGAAGGGCCAUCGCUCAACGGAUAAAAGCUACCCCGGGGAUAACAGGCUUAUCUCCCCCAAGAGUCCACAUCGACGGGGAGGUUUGGCACCUCGAUGUCGGCUCGUCGCAUCCUGGGGCUG